AUUCAUGGUUGAUUAUUAGAAGCUGCUAUCAUAGCAACUAGCAACAGCUCCAUUUAUUGGCUGUAAUCAAGUCCUUCACUAUAUGACUAUACUUCAAAACACUCCACUCAGUAUAAUAGUCUACAUUAUAAUGACACUCAUGAAUGUUAGCAGUAUCUUAGUGACAUUAUUGUUAUUGUAAAAUAUCAAUUUAAACACAUUGCAAUCAAAUUAAUUGUAAUUCAAUGAUGCACUGGCCUAAUAACAAAAUGACAUGUUAGCUACUCAGUAUAAACUUUUAAUUCAUUCAUUUUUCUUUUCUUCAUUUUUAUAAUAUUCUUUCCCAACAACCUUGAUAUAGAAA
Molecule: long non-coding RNA, 343 nt
Organism: Amphimedon queenslandica
Lineage: Eukaryota; Metazoa; Porifera; Demospongiae; Haplosclerida; Niphatidae
Exons: 2
Source: RefSeq, a predicted model, not a curated record